RNAcentral lists this ribosomal RNA (534 nucleotides) under uncultured bacterium. Its description in RNAcentral is "partial 16S ribosomal RNA". It matches the Rfam family "Bacterial small subunit ribosomal RNA", at positions 355 to 899 of the family's 1533-position model. The record is from RNAcentral.
UGGGGAAUAUUGGACAAUGGGCGGAAGCCUGAUCCAGCAACGCCGCGUGAGGGAUGACGGCCUUCGGGUUGUAAACCUCUUUCAGUACCGACGAAGCGAAAGUGACGGUAGGUACAGAAGAAGGACCGGCCAACUACGUGCCAGCAGCCGCGGUAAUACGUAGGGUCCGAGCGUUGUCCGGAAUUAUUGGGCGUAAAGGGCUCGUAGGCGGUUUGUCGCGUCGGGAGUGAAAACAGCGGGCUUAACUCGUUGCUUGCUUUCGAUACGGGCAGACUAGAGGUAUGCAGGGGGAGAAUGGAAUUCCUGGUGUAGCGGUGAAAUGCGCAGAUAUCAGGAGGAACACCGGUGGCGAAGGCGGUUCUCUGGGCAUUACCUGACGCUGAGGAGCGAAAGUGUGGGGAGCGAACAGGAUUAGAUACCCCUGGUAGUCCACACCGUAAACGUUGGGCGCUAGUGUGGGUCCUUUCCACGGAUUCGUGCCNUAGNAACGCAUUUAAGCGCCCCGCCUGGGGAGUACGGCCGCAAGGCUCAAAA